Long non-coding RNA from Dendrobium catenatum, 1656 nucleotides. RefSeq lists it as uncharacterized. The record is from RefSeq and is a predicted model, not a curated record. Lineage: Eukaryota; Viridiplantae; Streptophyta; Magnoliopsida; Asparagales; Orchidaceae. The transcript is spliced from 3 exons.
CCGCUGCUCUCGCCUGGCUUUUCAUGGGUGAAUGGACGACCUUCGGCCUUCGCGGAAGGCUUCUAAGUUCUAACUACGCAGGAAGUAAUUACUCUCUCUCUUUCCAAUGUUGGCUCACACAAAGAAAAUCAAUGCUAUUCAAUUCUGGACCGCCUCUCUCUCUCUCUCUCUCUAAAUCUCUAUCCCCCCUUGAGAUUUAAACCGUGAAUAAAGCCCCUAAAACUACGGCCUCGAUGAAGAGAAAGUAGAUUUGAAGGGGAACACAGCAACAUACCUUGAUCUCGGAAACCCUAACGUCGAGCGUGCGAGUGGGAUAGGAGGAAAUAGGGAGCUUGUGGAAGAAGGUGAAGGUAGCCUUGGGGUUGAGCACGUGCGUUUUUGUGCCGAUAGUUCAGGAGGAAAAUCCUUCAGUUGGAAACGGGCAAAAAAUCGCAAGCAUCUACCGGAGGUCUUUUUCUGGUCGUAAUUCUUGCUUGGAUUACGGCUUGUAGAUGCCGAUUAAGCCGACUCCAAACUCUUCCAUACGUCUGAUGUCUAAUCUGAAGGACUUUAGUCAACAACUCCAUAGCAAAGAUGUCUUCAUAUCAUUUUAAGAGAGACUUAAUUUCAGUGGGAAGGAGAGUCUCAACAAUAUUUUGCUCAGCAAAUAGAAUGGCAAGCAUAUAAGACUGUCCCUUAUAAGCCCCUAGCAAUUCCCAUCCGACUUCACCAGUAAAGGCAGCAUGAGCAUUUUCUUGCUUCUUGGUUAGUAGAGGUGAUGACAACAUUUAAAUUUCUCAUUCUUCACUCAAACAGAUAGGCAUUGGGGCAAGCAUCAUUUUAAACGCCCAUGUCAACUUGCCAAUGGCGUCCCCAUAUGAGUUGUUGUUGAUCGGAACCCCAACCACCUUUUAACGAGAGAUUAUUAUGUGCGGUGUGAGGUGUCCGGAUUGCCCGGAGGCGAAUUCGGACCCGCCAUGUCACCUAGAUGCAUUGGCCCUGGGUGACAUGGCGCGUCCGGAUUCGCCUCCGAAUGAAUCCGUACGCCACAGGUAAUAAUUUUCCCCUUUUAACCCAGCUAAAUUUAUACAAAUGUGAAUGUUUACCACCAUUUUCUAAAAGAAGUUCUCACACUUUUUUGCCAAAUAGUGCAUUGCGCCAAAGAUCAUAUCAUUUUAUGCUGCUUUUUGGUUGUUUAGGAGUGAGGGAUAUUUUCUUAAGGAAGUAAGAAAGGAAUUAUCUAUCAUCUCCUUGCAAGUCUUUGACACCUUUGGCUGAGAACAAAACAUCUAAAGCACUUAUUUCCUCCUGAUAUCCAUCCAUCAGAUAUUAUUGCUUCAUGUUCCAGCCUCUAUUAGAGCGGUGAGUAGGGAUUGAUCUAUUGUACAUAUUUUUUCUUUGCCCGCUUGGUUUUCUUGGGUCCUUCGAAUAAGCCACAUUUGUUGGCUCAGCUUGUGGUGCGGAUUGGCUUAGGGAUUGAAGGGUCCUCUCUUUCAAAGUGGGAAGAAUAACUUUGGCCACUUUAUUGCUAAGAUUUAACUCAGUUUUGUUUGUUGGUUGGAAGCUAUGGCUAUUAAUCCAGAAAUUUUGGUUCAAGUUUUGUGUAUGUGAUGUGUGUGUGAGUUUGCCUUAAUUGCCUAAAUGUCCAAAAAAAAAAAAAAACCUUUAUAGCUAAGU